Paramormyrops kingsleyae is the source of this 1964-nucleotide long non-coding RNA. RefSeq lists it as uncharacterized. The record is from RefSeq and is a predicted model, not a curated record. NCBI's taxonomy places the organism in Eukaryota, Metazoa, Chordata, Actinopteri, Osteoglossiformes, Mormyridae.
AGUACUUCUAUCACCCCGCUUGUAGUGCUGCGGGGCUUUUUUCCAGUCGGCUUCAGGCUUGCAAGCUGCCCGACUCGCCACGUCGGUUCAACAGGAGGCUGCGGUCCCCAGCAGAUUCCCGGUUUAGGACGGAGGACGUCCUGCCGUGACUCACGCUGGGAGACCCAGCAGCACAUGGGCUUACUCUCCCCUGGUUUCCAGAUCUGCCUCCCAGAAGGUAGCUGGGGUUGAUGCGAGCUUGGAUGUUGUGCCAGAUACCACAGUGCAUGACAGGACACUCCCUGGACAGGAUUGGGUUCAAAGACAUUGCAGUUCUUGGUCCAUGUGCACCAGCUGUUUGAUUCUGGAAACGCGCCAGACGUGACCUUGUGUUGGCGAUAUAUAAAGCAGGCUUGUGUGGUCUCUUCUCAUUUGUCCCUGUUUAAAUACUGUGUCCUGGUUUUGAUAUCCACAUAUUCUGUUGUUACGCUUUGAAAUUCUACAUUACUGUUCUGCUUCGCUUUGUCAUAUUGUCACCAUCCAAGAUCAUUAAACUAUUUUGAUGUGACCUUCACUCAUUGUCAUGCCUUGGCAGGUGGCAUCACUGGCUUCACCCAACUGAAGUAAAGGAACUUAAUUCCUGUGCCAACUUAGACACAACUGGCCUUUGACAGUAACUGAAGCUGCCUGCUUGUCAUAGCAGAGCAGUGGGCUGCGUAUGACCUCCGUGUUCCCGACCGCAGACAAUUACACACCUGAUAGGAGAUGUUUAGUUCCAUUAAGCAGCCACGUUACCGAGUGGCACAGAACUACCUGAGAUCUGCUGCCUGAACACCACGUUAUGCUUCCAGCGAACACUGCAUGUUUUCUCGAUUAGUCCACUGCUUUGCUUGUCAGCUCUAUGGGCCAGUUUUUCCCAGCUGUCCUCAGGGACUUCCAGACAAUCCACAUUUUUGCUCCCUCACAGCUCCCAGCCAAUCAAGAACACGGAAUACCUGGUUUUGAGAGCUCGGAGGGAGCAAAACGUGCAAAAACGCUGGUAUAGACCAAUGAGGUCUGGGGAUGUAAGAGUCAUCAUGUUAAUAGAAACAAUUUAAUGAACGAACUUACACCCUUCUUUCUUUGGGUUGUUGUCCUCCAGUAAGACCAGGCUGCUUGCUAACUAUUCUGUGGCAUACUGUCUGUACGUGUUUUACCUCAUCGCACCAUGUAAGGCUGUUGCUAAACCUUGGUUUCUGUUGUCCAUGAUGGGGGUUGCAUCCGUCAUCCAGAUUAAGUGAGUAAUCAAUGUUUGUAUAGAUAGUCAUCUUCUAUUGCAGAAAGCAGUUGUAAUAAUGUAUGUUGCAGGCCUACCUGGAAGGUACAGCGUUUGUGUUGCUAAGGGAUGCCAAAUGACAUUGGGAUGGUUUAUGUGUCAGAUGACAUGGGAUUCAUCUGCUGAGAUGGUGGAAAGAGUGUCUCUCAGAUCCAGCCCUCCUGCUACCAGUCAUCCUGCCCCAAAUAUGAGUGAAAUAUGGUAUCUUGCAGGACAUGAUGUUGACGACAGUAGUAUGUGUCUUCUGCGUUGCCAAGUUAAGUUAGCUUUCAUUCCAACGCCAGUGACAUGCAAUCAGUCAUGUAGAGUCACGUUCUCUGUUGCCUCCUUCAAAAAGUAAAAAUGGGUAUUUUGAAACCUCUCUUGAAAAAAGCUGCAAUUGGCGCCCAUCCAUUUUCCAUAGCUGCUUAUCUACUGAAGGGUCGUGGUGAGACUGGAGCUUUUCAAAGAAGCAAUGGGCACAAGUCAGGGCAGCGCCCAUCACGAGCAACGCACUCACAUACUAUGGGCAGCGGAAAGACAAUUAACUGACUUUGAGAUGACUGCAAGACCUGCAGGAAACUCACACAAAUACAUGUAAAACUACACUACAGCCUUGCAGAAGUGAGGUCACUGUGCCACUCCAGAAGUGCAAUUACAUCAAUAACAAAGCACACCGUUGUCAGUCAGA